UUUCAAUUAAGUUCUUACUCUUUUGAUUUGGGUUGUUGGCUUUUUUCCUUUUUUUUUUUCCUUUUUUUUUUUCCUUUUUUUUUUCUUUUCUUUUUUUUUAAAAUUCGGCUCUCAAAGUAGAGUCCUUUUAGUUUGUUGUUUUUUUUUUUUGUGUGUGUUUUUGUUUUAGGGUUUUUUGGCCAAAUCCAUUUGUUGGAGGUUUGCAAUAAGUGUCACUGUGGGGUUGCUUGUAUUAUAGGAUUUGGUGUGUCUUUUCAGGUAGCUUAGGAUGUCAGUCGAACCAGGAUGAUCCCUGUGGUGCCUCAGAACUUAUGCUGAUAAUUGACAUGGUUGAUUUAUAUCAUCCCACAUAUUGCCAAGUGUAUCAAACAAGUAUAUCAAACCUUAAUAUCAUUACAGGAUUAUUUAAUGAAAUAUGCUGAAUUCUUGUGGAAAAAUAUCACACCAAACAUAUCACUGUGUUGGAAGGAUAAUUGUGGUUUCUGCAAGAAAAUGGCAAAGUGACAGGUGAUUCCAGCUUCUAAUUGGGAUGCUUGUCUGAUACUGUGAAAUAGAGUUGUUUGAUGGUGGUUAAAGACUUCAGUCCAUCCAGUCUGCAGGCUAAUGUCCUCUUGGAAGUUUAACAAAAACAUUUGCUGGCUAUUUCAUAGGAAGAUCUCCCAUACUGUCAUGCUUCAAAUGAAAUUGCAUUUUUUGGAAGAUGGAAAAUUAGCUUUAUGGAGUUUUGCAAAAUAAAAUAUGAAAGCAUGAGUCUUUUUGAGAAAUUUGAAAAUUGUACUGUCUGUAUAACAUUUAGUUGUGUUAUGGUUUCUAUUAGGCAGUAAAGGCCUACCUGUGUGAAUAAAAUGUAAUCAAUUAAUUACA
Molecule: long non-coding RNA, 864 nt
Filed under: Parus major (Great Tit)
Lineage: Eukaryota; Metazoa; Chordata; Aves; Passeriformes; Paridae
Description: lncRNA (ENSPMJG00000007577.1)
Source: RNAcentral